Molecule: transfer RNA, 57 nt
Filed under: Dipodomys ordii (Ord's kangaroo rat)
Lineage: Eukaryota; Metazoa; Chordata; Mammalia; Rodentia; Heteromyidae
Rfam family: tRNA
About the family: Transfer RNA (tRNA) molecules are approximately 80 nucleotides in length. Their secondary structure includes four short double-helical elements and three loops (D, anti-codon, and T loops).
Source: Rfam by way of RNAcentral
UGGCUUAGUGGUAGAGCGCUUGCCUAGCAUGCAUGAAGCCCUGGGUUUGAUUCCUUG